Molecule: ribosomal RNA, 195 nt
Filed under: uncultured bacterium
Lineage: Bacteria
Also listed under: 1 other name
Description: partial 16S ribosomal RNA
Rfam family: Bacterial small subunit ribosomal RNA
Source: RNAcentral
UCUACGGGAGGCAGCAGUAGGGAAUCUUCCACAAUGGACGAAAGUCUGAUGGAGCAACGCCGCGUGAGUGAAGAAGGUUUUCGGAUCGUAAAACUCUGUUGUUGGAGAAGAAUGUAUCUGAUAGUAACUGAUCAGGUAGUGACGGUAUCCAACCAGAAAGCCACGGCUAACUACGUGCCAGCAGCCGCGGUAAUA